GACGAACGCUGGCGGCGUGCUUAACACAUGCAAGUCGAACGGAAAGGCCUGCUUUCCCUUGUGGAUUGCGGGUACUCGAGUGGCGAACGGGUGAGUAACACGUGAGUGAUCUGCCCCCAACUUGGGUAUAAGCCUGGGAAACUGGGUCUAAUUCCCGAUAGGACUGCAGGGUGGUGCCUGUGGUGGAAAACGAUUUUCUAGUGGUUGGGGAUGAGCUCGCGGCCUAUCAGCUUGUUGGUGGGGUAAUGGCCUACCAAGGCGGCGACGGGUAGCCGGCCUGAGGGGGUGGACGGCCACAUUGGGACUGAGAUACGGCCCAGACUCCGACGGGAGGCAGCAGUGGGGAAUAUUGCACAAUGGGCGGAAGCCUGAUGCAGCGACGCCGCGUGGGGGAUGACGGCCUUCGGGUUGUAAACUCCUUUCGACCGCGAGGAAGCCACCUGGUUGGAGGGGUGGUGACGGUAGUGGUAGAAGAAGCACCGGCUAACUACGUG
This 494-nucleotide ribosomal RNA is filed under the name uncultured bacterium. RNAcentral describes it as "partial 16S ribosomal RNA". It matches the Rfam family "Bacterial small subunit ribosomal RNA", at positions 28 to 507 of the family's 1533-position model. The record is from RNAcentral.